GAUGAACGCUGGCGGCGUGCCUAAUACAUGCAAGUCGAGCGAACAGACGAGGAGCUUGCUCCUCUGACGUUAGCGGCGGACGGGUGAGUAACACGUGGAUAACCUACCUAUAAGACUGGGAUAACUUCGGGAAACCGGAGCUAAUACCGGAUAAUAUAUUGAACCGCAUGGUUCAAUAGUGAAAGACGGUUUUGCUGUCACUUAUAGAUGGAUCCGCGCCGCAUUAGCUAGUUGGUAAGGUAACGGCUUACCAAGGCAACGAUGCGUAGCCGACCUGAGAGGGUGAGCGGCCACGCGGGAACUGAGACACGGUCCAGACUCCUACGGGAGGCAGCAGUAGGGAAUCUUCCGCAAUGGGCGAAAGCCUGACGGAGCAACGCCGCGUGAGUGAUGAAGGUCUUCGGAGCGUAAAACUCUGUUAUGAGGGAAGAACAAAUGUGUAAGUAACUAUGCACGUCUGGACGGUACCUAAUCAGAAAGCCCCGGCUAACUACGU
RNAcentral lists this ribosomal RNA (496 nucleotides) under uncultured bacterium. RNAcentral's name for it is "partial 16S ribosomal RNA". It matches the Rfam family "Bacterial small subunit ribosomal RNA", at positions 28 to 506 of the family's 1533-position model. The record is from RNAcentral.